This 492-nucleotide ribosomal RNA is filed under the name uncultured bacterium. RNAcentral describes it as "partial 16S ribosomal RNA". It matches the Rfam family "Bacterial small subunit ribosomal RNA", at positions 29 to 507 of the family's 1533-position model. The record is from RNAcentral.
AGUGAACGCUGGCGGUAGGCCUAACACAUGCGAGUCGAACGGCAGCACAGUAAGAGCUUGCUCUUACGGGUGGCGAGUGGCGGACGGGUGAGCAAUACAUCGGAAUCUACUUUUUCGUGGGGGAUAACGUAGGGUAACUUACGCUAAUACCGCAUACGACCUACGGGUGAAAGCAGGGGAUCUUCGGACCUUGCGCGAUUGAAUGAGCCGAUGUCGGAUUAGCUAGUUGGCGGGGUAAAGGCCCACCAAGGCGACGAUCCGUAGCUGGUCUGAGAGGAUGAUCAGCCACACUGGAACUGAGACACGGUCCAGACUCCUACGGGAGGCAGCAGUGGGGAAUAUUGGACAAUGGGCGCAAGCCUGAUCCAGCCAUACCGCGUGGGUGAAGAAGGCCUUCGGGUUGUAAAGCCCUUUUGUUGGGAAAGAAAAGCAGCAGGUUAAUACCCCGCUGUUCUGACGGUACCCAAAGAAUAAGCACCGGCUAACUUCGUG